RNAcentral lists this ribosomal RNA (253 nucleotides) under uncultured bacterium. Its description in RNAcentral is "partial 16S ribosomal RNA". It matches the Rfam family "Bacterial small subunit ribosomal RNA", at positions 524 to 776 of the family's 1533-position model. The record is from RNAcentral.
UACGUAGGGUGCAAGCGUUAUCCGGAAUUAUUGGGCGUAAAGAGCUCGUAGGCGGUUUGUCGUGUCUGCUGUGAAAACUGGAGGCUCAACCUCCAGCCUGCAGUGGGUACGGCAAACUAGAGUGGCGGUAGGGGAGAUUGGAAUUCCUGGUGUAGCGGUGGAAAUGCGCAGAUAUCAGGAGGAACACCGAUGGCGAAGGCAGAUCUCUGGGCCGAUACUGACGUGAGGAGCGAAAGCGUGGGGAGCAAACAGG